This 2928-nucleotide ribosomal RNA is filed under the name Salmonella enterica subsp. enterica serovar Dessau. RNAcentral describes it as "23S ribosomal RNA". It matches the Rfam family "Bacterial large subunit ribosomal RNA". Lineage: Bacteria; Pseudomonadati; Pseudomonadota; Gammaproteobacteria; Enterobacterales; Enterobacteriaceae. The record is from RNAcentral.
GGGUUGUGAGGUUAAGCGACUAAGCGUACACGGUGGAUGCCCUGGCAGUCAGAGGCGAUGAAGGACGUGCUAAUCUGCGAUAAGCGCCGGUAAGGUGAUAUGAACCGUUAUAACCGGCGAUUUCCGAAUGGGGAAACCCAGUGUGACUCGUCACACUAUCAUUAACUGAAUCCAUAGGUUAAUGAGGCGAACCGGGGGAACUGAAACAUCUAAGUACCCCGAGGAAAAGAAAUCAACCGAGAUUCCCCCAGUAGCGGCGAGCGAACGGGGAGGAGCCCAGAGCCUGAAUCAGCAUGUGUGUUAGUGGAAGCGUCUGGAAAGGCGCGCGAUACAGGGUGACAGCCCCGUACACAAAAGCGCAUGUGCUGUGAGCUCGAUGAGUAGGGCGGGACACGUGGUAUCCUGUCUGAAUAUGGGGGGGGGGCAUCCUCCAAGGCUAAAUACUCCUGACUGACCGAUAGUGAACCAGUACCGUGAGGGAAAGGCGAAAAGAACCCCGGCGAGGGGAGUGAAAAAGAACCUGAAACCGUGUACGUACAAGCAGUGGGAGCACCCUUUGGGGUGUGACUGCGUACCUUUUGUAUAAUGGGUCAGCGACUUAUAUUCUGUAGCAAGGUUAACCGUAUAGGGGAGCCGCAGGGAAACCGAGUCUUAACCGGGCGUUAAGUUGCAGGGUAUAGACCCGAAACCCGGUGAUCUAGCCAUGGGCAGGUUGAAGGUUGGGUAACACUAACUGGAGGACCGAACCGACUAAUGUUGAAAAAUUAGCGGAUGAUCUGUGGCUGGGGGUGAAAGGCCAAUCAAACCGGGAGAUAGCUGGUUCUCCCCGAAAGCUAUUUAGGUAGCGCCUCGUGAACUCAUCUCCGGGGGUAGAGCACUGUUUCGGCUAGGGGGCCAUCCCGGCUUACCAACCCGAUGCAAACUGCGAAUACCGGAGAAUGUUAUCACGGGAGACACACGGCGGGUGCUAACGUCCGUCGUGAAGAGGGAAACAACCCAGACCGCCAGCUAAGGUCCCAAAGUCAUGGUUAAGUGGGAAACGAUGUGGGAAGGCCCAGACAGCCAGGAUGUUGGCUUAGAAGCAGCCAUCAUUUAAAGAAAGCGUAAUAGCUCACUGGUCGAGUCGGCCUGCGCGGAAGAUGUAACGGGGCUAAACCAUGCACCGAAGCUGCGGCAGCGACACUGUGUGUUGUUGGGUAGGGGAGCGUUCUGUAAGCCUGUGAAGGUGUGUCGUGAGGCAUGCUGGAGGUAUCAGAAGUGCGAAUGCUGACAUAAGUAACGAUAAAGCGGGUGAAAAGCCCGCUCGCCGGAAGACCAAGGGUUCCUGUCCAACGUUAAUCGGGGCAGGGUGAGUCGACCCCUAAGGCGAGGCCGAAAGGCGUAGUCGAUGGGAAACGGGUUAAUAUUCCCGUACUUGGUGUUACUGCGAAGGGGGGACGGAGAAGGCUAUGUUGGCCGGGCGACGGUUGUCCCGGUUUAAGCGUGUAGGCUGGUUUUCCAGGCAAAUCCGGAAAAUCAAGGCUGAGGCGUGACGACGAGGCACUACGGUGCUGAAGCAACAAAUGCCCUGCUUCCAGGAAAAGCCUCUAAGCAUCAGGUAACACGAAAUCGUACCCCAAACCGACACAGGUGGUCAGGUAGAGAAUACCAAGGCGCUUGAGAGAACUCGGGUGAAGGAACUAGGCAAAAUGGUGCCGUAACUUCGGGAGAAGGCACGCUGACACGUAGGUGAAGUGAUUUACUCAUGGAGCUGAAGUCAGUCGAAGAUACCAGCUGGCUGCAACUGUUUAUUAAAAACACAGCACUGUGCAAACACGAAAGUGGACGUAUACGGUGUGACGCCUGCCCGGUGCCGGAAGGUUAAUUGAUGGGGUCAGCGCAAGCGAAGCUCCUGAUCGAAGCCCCGGUAAACGGCGGCCGUAACUAUAACGGUCCUAAGGUAGCGAAAUUCCUUGUCGGGUAAGUUCCGACCUGCACGAAUGGCGUAAUGAUGGCCAGGCUGUCUCCACACCCGAGACUCAGUGAAAUUGAACUCGCUGUGAAGAUGCAGUGUACCCGCGGCAAGACGGAAAGACCCCGUGAACCUUUACUAUAGCUUGACACUGAACAUUGAGCCUUGAUGUGUAGGAUAGGUGGGAGGCUUUGAAGUGUGGACGCCAGUCUGCAUGGAGCCGACCUUGAAAUACCACCCUUUAAUGUUUGAUGUUCUAACGUGGACCCGUAAUCCGGGUUGCGGACAGUGUCUGGUGGGUAGUUUGACUGGGGCGGUCUCCUCCUAAAGAGUAACGGAGGAGCACGAAGGUUGGCUAAUCCUGGUCGGACAUCAGGAGGUUAGUGCAAUGGCAUAAGCCAGCUUGACUGCGAGCGUGACGGCGCGAGCAGGUGCGAAAGCAGGUCAUAGUGAUCCGGUGGUUCUGAAUGGAAGGGCCAUCGCUCAACGGAUAAAAGGUACUCCGGGGAUAACAGGCUGAUACCGCCCAAGAGUUCAUAUCGACGGCGGUGUUUGGCACCUCGAUGUCGGCUCAUCACAUCCUGGGGCUGAAGUAGGUCCCAAGGGUAUGGCUGUUCGCCAUUUAAAGUGGUACGCGAGCUGGGUUUAGAACGUCGUGAGACAGUUCGGUCCCUAUCUGCCGUGGGCGCUGGAGAACUGAGGGGGGCUGCUCCUAGUACGAGAGGACCGGAGUGGACGCAUCACUGGUGUUCGGGUUGUCAUGCCAAUGGCACUGCCCGGUAGCUAAAUGCGGAAGAGAUAAGUGCUGAAAGCAUCUAAGCACGAAACUUGCCCCGAGAUGAGUUCUCCCUGAGACUUAGAGUCUCCUGAAGGAACGUUGAAGACGACGACGUUGAUAGGCCGGGUGUGUAAGCGCAGCGAUGCGUUGAGCUAACCGGUACUAAUGAACCGUGAGGCUUAACCUUACAACGCCAAAG